UAAGCCGCUGGUAGUAGACCCGAAGCGGAGGUGAUCUACUCAUGGUCAGGUUGAAGGUUGCUUAACCGCAACUGGAGGACCGAACAGGUGAAUGUUGAAAAAUUCUCUGAUGAACUGUGAGUAGGAGCGAAAGACUAAUCAAACCCCGUGAUAGCUGGUUCUCUCCGAAAUAGCUUGAGGGCUAGCCUCGUGCGCUGACUUGUGGAGGUAAAGCACUGGAUGGACUAUGGUCCCUAACGGGAUACUGAAUCCAACCAAACUCUGAAUGCCACAGGGUGCAGCACGGGAGUCAGACGGUGGGGGAUAAGCUUCAUCGUCGAAAGGGAAACAGCCCAGACCGACAGCUAAGGUGCCUAAAUACCGCUUAGUGGAAAGGAUGUUAGGUUUCUAUAACAGUGAGGAUGUUGGCUUAGAGGCAGCCAUCAUUUAAACAGUGCGUAAUAGCUGACUCAUCGAGAGACUUGGCGCCGAAAAUGAUUGGCGAUCAAGCGGUAUACCGAAGCUGCGGAUACAUAUGAAUUUCGAUUUAUAUGCAUGGUAGGAGAGCGUUCUUGGUGCUGUGAAGCGGUAGGGAAACCAUCCGUGGAGCGCCCGGAAGUGAGGAUGCAGACAUGAGUAGCGAUAAGACAGGUUGAAUUCCUGUCCGCCGUAAACCCAAGGUUUCCUGGGGAAGGUUCGUCCUCCCAGGGUUAGUCGGGAUCUAAGUCGAGGCCGUAUGGCGUAGGCGAUGACCAGCAGGUUCAAUAUUCCUGCACCACCGACAUUUUAACCGGGAUACGCAAGAACAGAGACAGUCCAGGUGCUGAUUAUCCUGGUCCCGCAAGGGGACGUGAGGGCGCAAGCUCGAGCGGAUCUGUUGACGUUUUUGCCGAGAAAAGUCCCGGCGUAUACUAAGGUGCCCGUACCGGAAACCGACACAGGUGGGUGAGUAGAAUAUACUAAGGCGCGUGAGUGAAAUCUCUUGAAGGAACUCGGCAAGUUAGCCCCGUAACUUCGGAAGAAGGGGCGCCCCUCGCAAGAGGGGCUGCAAUAAAAUGAGUCAACCGACUGUUUAACAAAAACACAGCUCUCUGCUAAGUCGCAAGACGACGUAUAGGGAGUGACACGUGACCAAUGCGGAAAGAUUACGGUAAGGGGUCAGCCGCAAGGCGAAGCUCUGAGCCCAAGUCCCCGUGAAUGUCGGCCGUAACUAUAACGGUCCUAAGGUAGCGAAAUUCCUUGUCGGGUAAGUUCCGACCUGCACGAAUCGUGUAACGAGUUGACUGCUGUCUCCAAGAGAAGCUCAGCGAAGUUGUAGUGGCGGUGAAGAUGCCGCCUACCCGCAGCAGGACGGAAAGACCCC
Molecule: ribosomal RNA, 1342 nt
Filed under: metagenome
Description: bacterial LSU rRNA
Rfam family: Bacterial large subunit ribosomal RNA
Source: RNAcentral